GGGUUCUUAGCUCAGCGGUUAGAGCCACCCGCUCAUAACGGGUUGGUCGCAGGUUCGAAUCCUGCAGAACCCACCA
Molecule: transfer RNA, 76 nt
Filed under: Helicobacteraceae bacterium
Lineage: Bacteria; Pseudomonadati; Campylobacterota; Epsilonproteobacteria; Campylobacterales; Helicobacteraceae
Description: tRNA-Ile
Rfam family: tRNA
About the family: Transfer RNA (tRNA) molecules are approximately 80 nucleotides in length.
Source: RNAcentral